Archocentrus centrarchus (flier cichlid) is the source of this 3014-nucleotide RNA transcript. It is a transcript of the gene named BUB3-interacting and GLEBS motif-containing protein ZNF207-like, with no coding region annotated. The record is from RefSeq and is a predicted model, not a curated record. NCBI's taxonomy places the organism in Eukaryota, Metazoa, Chordata, Actinopteri, Cichliformes, Cichlidae. The transcript has 13 exons.
AUGGGCAGGAAGAAGAAAAAGCAAAUGAAGCCUUGGUGUUGGUACUGUAACAGAGAUUUCGACGAUGAAAAAAUUCUUAUCCAGCACCAGAAAGCCAAACACUUCAAGUGCCACAUCUGCCAUAAGAAACUGUACACCGGCCCCGGGCUCGCAAUCCACUGUAUGCAGGUACAUAAAGAGACCAUUGAUGGAGUUCCUAAUGCAAUACCUGGAAGAACAGAUAUCGAGCUGGAGAUAUACGGGAUGGAGGGUAUUCCAGAGAAAGACAUGGAAGAGAGAAGGAGGAUGUUGGAGCAGAAGAACCAAGAGACUCAGAAGAAGAAGCAGAACCAGGAUGACUCUGAUGAAUAUGAAGACGAUGAUGAGCCCGGUCCCUCCUUUCAGCAUCCUGCUGCAGGACAGCUGCGGGCAGGUUUUGUCCCCCCUAUGACCCAGCCUGGUAUGCUUCCUCAUGGAUCUGGGGCCCCAGGAAUGCCGCCAGGCAGCUACUCAGGAAUUCCCCCGAUGAUGCCAGGCGUGCCACCUAUGAUGCCAGGAACGCCCCCUGUCAUGCCGGGAAUGCCUCCAGGGAUGAUCCCAAUGGGUGGGAUGAUGCCACCGAUGAUGCCAGGUGUGCCACCAGGCAUUCCUCCUCCAGUCGGUAACCGUCCAGCCAUCACACACAUGCCUCAGGUCCCCCCUGCUGCAGGUGUGCUGCCCAGACCUACAGUUCCUGCUGCCACUGCCCCCUCAGUGCAACCUGAUGUCACAAAACCUCUUUUCCCGAGUGCUGGACAGAUGGGCAGUCGAGUUGCAACUACAAGUACAGCCUCACCAAGUGCAGACACUCAGUGUGCUUCCCCUAAAGCUCUGUUCCCUAUCACUUCACAAAGUCAGCAGACAGUGUCGGGGUCCCCUCACACUCCCCCCUCCACCACCUCUGACCUCUCAAAGCCCACAUUCCCAGCCUACACUCAGGCCACCGCCGCUUUGGCCAGCCCUAAUGCUGGCAGCAGUACGGUCUCCAAACCUCCCUCCACCGUGACGAGUAAGCCUGCCACACUCACCACCUCCAGUGCAACCAGUAAGUUGAUCCACCCCGAUGAGGAUAUCUCACUGGAAGAGUUGCGGGCUCAGUUGUCCCAGUACCAGUGCAGUAUUCCCCGCCAAAGCCAGACCACCAGUGCUGCACCAUCAAUGGGUCCUGUGGGUGGCAUGAUGGCUCCUCAGCAGCACAACAUGAGGCACCCCGUACCUGGUCAAUAUGGUGGGCCACAGCAGGGGAUGCCAGGGUACAUACCUGGGCGGAUACCUCCAUAUAUUCAGGCCCCUCCCGUUGUUCCCCCAGUUUACCAGGGAGCCCCUCCACGGCCGCCCAUUGUCGCGAGACCCCCUGUCAUGUCUCCUGGAGGCCACUACUGAAGUCUGCUUCCUCUCAUCAGUGUGUAGAAGUGUAGUAGAUAUGGUUCGUAGUGUUGUGAAGGCGCUGGAGUUACAUGGGCAGUACGCACCCUUUAUCAAGCAAUGCCAUGGGGGACUGGCUGAGGCCCUGUCUCAGUGUAGCCCUGUUUCAGCCUGAGGCAAGUCUCACUGUUUUCUGUCUUCUCAUUCAUUAACAGGGGCCCUCACAGCUUACACGCUGUUGGAUAUCAGUGUCCCCAAACUUGUAGCAAGUUUGGUGAAGGCCCUUGUUUGUGUUGUUGCGUUUAGGCAUGUUAACUCAUGUAAGCAAUAUUCCUUUCUUUCUUAUUAAGCUAUAUCUGCCUUGUCCUCCAUUAUUUACUGGUGAAGCUCUUCAUUGGUCUGCCUGACCCUAGGACCAGAGACCUUACUAUCCUGUUGUGGGUCUUUGAACAGUUUGUGUAAUAUUUGAAUGGAUCGGAGAAAAUCAGCUGUGAUCAGACAGCACAGAUCAUGAUGGAAGUGCUGGACAAAGUGAUCUGUAGUAAAUGACCUGUGAGAACGAGUAUCCCUGUACAGCCAUAACCAUGGAACAAGCUAUAGUUCAAAAGAAAAAUUGUUAGUGCUGCUUUUAAAAUGAGUCCAUUAGCCAUGCUGUUUCUAUCAGCAAGAGAGGGAAACAAAAAUCAGCUUUCUUGGCAAAGAAAUACAUCUCAGCCAGGCACAGCAGCGAAAGCUAGCAUUAAAUUAGGUAACAAUACAAAGUUUUAUCUUAACCACCUUAAAAUUCAUGAUUACUUUUUAACAGAAGUCAGCUGUGAACACCGAUGCAGUCCAUUUCUCCUGGUGGGGUUUGGGUUGGUAAUUUCUUGGUUCUGCAUCCCAUCUUUUAAAUAACAGCUGCGUCUAGUUUGAUUGACAGGUAGAAAAAGGACCUGGAAGUUGGGUAGGAAUCUUUGGACCCAUGAAGAUCUCUGCUGGUGAGACCAUCAGGAUGCUCUCUUUUCUUUUAUGUCUUUUAAGUAUAGAGCUUUUAAAUGUGUUUUACCAUUAUUUAUAAUAUGCAAGGCUGGGUUCAAGGCCUAAACAUGUACGUUCUACACUAGCACCACCAUUUGUAGUUAACAUGUGGCAGGAAGUUUGAAUGAAUAAAUGACUUUACACCUGUUCCUAAAAUGGUUUUACCACUUAAUCCUGUUUGUUUUAUCAGCUUUCCUCACUUGAUCAUUUGAAUUUAACUACUUAUAUGAAGGAGAAUCUCUGCCAGUAGCAGGUUAGUUAAAGCAGUAAGUACCACUAAAUAAUUUUGGUGUACAUCAAGUUAUAUUUAGUAUGCACAUACAACAUCUUGAUGUCUGACAUGUACAUUCUUCCAAAAAAAACUCAUGCCUCAUAAAUUGGAAAGUAAUUUUCUGUUGGUUUGUAGCACUGUUUUUUCUCACUACUACCAAUGAAUGGUAGUAGUGAGAAAAAAAUUCAGUAAAAUGUUUACUUCUUGAUGUAUACAAUUUCAUGAAAAAAGAUUGGUUUGGAUUUAUUGCAUAACUUGCAAAAAAAUAUGGUAUUGGGCUAAAUGUACUUCAGAAGAGUUAGAUUGAAAACUGAAGCUAUGUAACAUGUUUUACAGAUGUUUU